RNAcentral lists this ribosomal RNA (253 nucleotides) under uncultured bacterium. Its description in RNAcentral is "partial 16S ribosomal RNA". It matches the Rfam family "Bacterial small subunit ribosomal RNA", at positions 524 to 776 of the family's 1533-position model. The record is from RNAcentral.
UACGGAGGAUGCAAGCGUUAUCCGGAAUGAUUGGGCGUAAAGCGUCCGCAGGUGGCAAUGUAAGUCCGCCGUCAAAGCGUCUGGCUCAACCAGAUAAAGGCAGUGGAAACUACAUAGCUAGAGUAAGGUAGGGGUAGAGGGAAUUCCUGGUGUAGCGGUGAAAUGCGUAGAGAUCAGGAAGAACACCGGUGGCGAAAGCGCUCUGCUGGACCUUAACUGACACUGAGGGACGAAAGCUAGGGGAGCGAAUGGG